GAAAUGCAGAAUCAGUACAGUUAAGUUAAUACAAAAUUCAAGUCCUGUGUAUAAGCGGUAGCCUAACAGAAGUCAUGCUACAAAACUGCCCGUCUGUGUAAGUGCAAAAUGUUGGGGAGAACCAGAGCUGACUGGUCACACGGAUUAGGAUUCUCUCUUAUUGGAGCCUGUGUCCUGGGAGCCGGAAGCUCUUUGAAAACAGCAUGAGGAUGAGGCUGCUGGAGCAAGUGUGAUCGUGGCACCAAUGAGCAAAUCUGGAGGCUCCCCAAGUCUCUGAGCACCCCAUCUUAUAAAGCUCCAUUCGCAGCUCCACAACAUGCGCUGAAACCAAAGCCACGUGCUCCGAAAGUGAAGAGAAACAACCGGCUAGGCUAUCUGAUACAUGGAGAUACAACCCCAGAAAGUCUAUUCCUUUAAAAACAAGUGGCUGUCUUGCCCUUGGGUGACACACAUUGAAGGGACUUGCCUAUCUUCAAAUGAUUGCACGAUUGUGGCAACACAUUAGAAGUUGGUGAACCGAGCUGAGGAAACUCCCUGCUGCUCUGCAGCCCCCCAUUCCGGGGGACUUCACGUGGGAAGCAUUUUGGAUGGCAUAGAAGUGCUGCUUGGACCUGCUGUGUGGGUGAGAAGCCCACGGCAGUGCUUCUAGUGGGGUGCCAGUUCCUUGCCCACUGGUCCACAUGGGGGCACUUGGAGAGGACUGUGGUCUCAGUGGACCAGGAGCUCUAGAGACAGUGCUCCUCCCCUCUUCACCUUGUGACCCAACGCUGCUAGUGGGUUCCCUACAGCCCAGCCCAGGCCAACGUGGGCAGGGACUCCCUUCGGGCAUGCCGCUAGCUGUUCCUGGCAGCCUUCAGCCUCUGCUCCAUUCUCCCUCUCCACCCCAGCCUGAGCCUUUGCCCUGACACCAUAGACCAAUGGCCUCUGGUCAGUCGCUGACGCCUGGGGCCCCUGGCCAUCUUGUCACCUGCAGCCUCUGGCUCUCUCUCUCAGCACUGCUUCUCCAUGGACAGAUCUGAUGGGCAAAGGGUCUCCCUUAUUUCUUUAAUCAGAUACAGGAAAGAACUCAGGCAGGUGCUGAACUACCCAUCCUUCGCAUCAUCUCCAGCCUCACCCGUGAAAACUUGAAGCUAUGCUCAGAAGUGGGAGACCAUUUGGCGAUCUUUUCGGUAAAUACAGCAAAAGGGAGAAAAAAGAACAAUACCUAAUGGAUCCAACUCCUGCGUCCAAGCAGACAGUUUAACCCCUGGGUCAUCGUGCUUGUAUUUCACUUAUUGGAUUGUUAAUAGAUUUUCUUCAUUUGUGUGAGACGUUGCGAAUGAUGUGCGGAGGCCGCCGCUUCCUCCGGCGCUGGGACUCGAGGUCCACCUGUAAGGAGAUGGCGUUAAAAGCUGCUGGAGUUGCUGCCUCCUGACAACAUCCCAGCUGUAGACUCGCAAUCGCAAUCCUCGGGUGGCAGUUUUAAUUAUCGGCACCGCGAUACCAUCAGCAAGUGUGUAAUUACGUGUCAGUUUCCUGGCUGUUGGGUAUGAAAAGUGGAUCCAGUGAAAUGAUGAUUGUGGAAGCUGUAGACUCAUAUUUAAACAAUUCAAAAUGUGUAACUGGCAGUGUCAUUAAACAGAGAGAGCCUGACCCCAGCUGUCACUUACUUUCCCUUAUGCAGAUUUGUUCGUGCUGUCUGUCAAAAGAACUCCAUGGGCUGAAAUGGGACAGAGGGAGGUGACAUAAUUCUCCGAGCAAAGAGGGCUGCUCUCCUUAACCCCACAGAGGCGUUCUUUUAGCCUAAACAAAUACGACUGCUGAAAUUGUAAAUAAACCAAGACCAUUACGGGAAAUUAUAUAGACUUUUGCCGAUGAAUACACAAAGGCAGAAUAUCAAACAGACAUCCCUUCUUAAAAAAUGUGAAUAAAACCUGCCCGAUUGUCAUGCACUUAAAGAAGAAGUACUGUGGUAAUUGGGAGGGUUGAUGUUUGAAGCAGAAAAUUAAAUGACCCUUUUAGUUUGAGAUCAAAAUGGUGGGUGCAAGAUGAAGAAAAGGGGGGGCUUAUUUUGAAAACUGCUCUGUAUCAACAGUGAGAAACAUGAAUGGAUAAAAAAAAUUACACAGAUUUAAAUAAACUUCAGUAUGGCUUAGGUUAUAAGUUGUCAUGGCCUGAAAUGCUUUGAAUCCAAUUGGGAAAACAGAAAUACAUAUGCUAAAUAAAUGAAGGUAAAAAUAGGCAUGAUUGGCCUUCUAAGAAGGGUGGGUUAAGAAGUGAGAAAUACUCAAAUUUCUGCAAAUGUAAUUACAUAGUUCCGCAGCCUACCAACUACACACUCCUGGGAGAUGGGAGAAACAUGCAUUUGCUCUCAAAAGCCUUCAUUUUACCUGGCAUGCUAAAAAGGACCUUGGUAACCAAGGGUUAAGUCUGCGUGCAUGCAAAAAUACAUGAAAGGCGAAUUUAUAAAAUGAAGCGUGGAGGUUAAGUGUGGGGGUUAAACUAACACAAUGAACUGUGAACACAAAGAAAAAUGUUUCUUUAAUUUUUAAAAUGUUUUCACUUCUCAUAAUAAACUGAACUUGCAGUUGCAUGCAAACAACAUUAUUUCAUACCCUGAAGACACCACAAUUUAAAGCUUGUGGAACUCAAAUUGAUUCUAGAAGCAAUGUUAUAACUACAGAGGCGCUUUGGCAAUUGUGAUCUUCUGAAGGGCAUCAAAUCACACCUCUGGUAGCACAUCUGAAAGUAAACACUUGCACACAUGCACACACACAAGGUAGGAGGCAUUUAAAACAGGGUCAACGUCG
This 2789-nucleotide long non-coding RNA is filed under the name Homo sapiens (human). RNAcentral's name for it is "HSALNT0170041". The record is from RNAcentral. Lineage: Eukaryota; Metazoa; Chordata; Mammalia; Primates; Hominidae.